GGACCUGAAGCUUUUGAUCCUAAAAGAUUAUUAGAAGAAUUUGUAAGUCAUAUUCAGGAACUCCAGAUAAUGGAUGAAAGGAUUCAGAGGAAAGUAGAGAAACUAGAGCAACAAUGUCAGAAAGAAGCCAAGGAAUUUGCCAAGAAGGUACAAGAGCUGCAGAAAAGCAAUCAGGUUGCCUUCCAACAUUUCCAAGAACUAGAUGAGCACAUUAGCUAUGUAGCAACUAAAGUCUGUCACCUUGGAGACCAGUUAGAGGGGGUAAACACACCCAGACAACGCGCAGUGGAGGCUCAGAAAUUGAUGAAAUACUUUAAUGAGUUUCUAGAUGGAGAAUUGAAAUCUGAUGUUUUUACAAAUUCUGAAAAGCACUAGUCACUUACUCCUGGUCUAAGGGUACAUGGUAUUGGCUGCUCUGCAAUCUUGAAAGAAGGUAAUUUAGCUCACUUUCUUCCCCUCAAGGGAAAAAAAAAAAUCAAAAUGUGUGAGAAAAUGGACAUUCUUAUGGAUCUUAUAUGUACAUAGCAACAUUGUCCACUCAUAUUGAAUACAGUCUUCCUGAAUUAUUCCAGAUUUACUCCAUAGAAUAUUUCAGAUAGUGAAAUGUAAAAGCUAAGUAUUAUUGAGACUCACUUUGAAUUAAGCAACACUUUUUUUAAUAGAACUCUAUAGGGUUAUAGAACUUACAAUUUUUAGAGUUCUUUGGAAAAUAGUUAUGUGUGUACAGAUAAUUCCUCUAAAGAAAAGGCGUUUUUGAAAA
Molecule: small RNA, 760 nt
Filed under: Pongo abelii (Sumatran orangutan)
Lineage: Eukaryota; Metazoa; Chordata; Mammalia; Primates; Hominidae
Description: processed transcript
Source: RNAcentral